AGUGAACGCUGGCGGUAGGCCUAACACAUGCAAGUCGAACGGCAGCACAGUAAGAGCUUGCUCUUACGGGUGGCGAGUGGCGGACGAGUGAGGAAUACAUCGGAAUCUACAUUUUCGUGGGGGAUAACGUAGGGAAACUUACGCUCAUACCGCAUACGACCUACGGGUGAAAGCAGGGGAUCUUCUGACCUUGCGCGAGUGAAUGAGCCGAUGUCGGAUUAGCUAGUUGGCGGGGUACAGGCCCACCAAGGCGACGAUCCGUAGCUGGUCUGAGAGGAUGAUCAGCCACACUGGAACUGAGAGACGGUCCAGACUCCUAAGGGAGGCAGCAGUGGGGAAUAUUGGACAAUGGGCGCAAGCCUGAUCCAGCCAUACCGCGUGGGUGAAGAAGGCCUUCGGGUUGUAAAGCCCUUUUGUUGGGAAAGAAAAGCAGCAGGUUAAUACCGCGCUGUUCUGACGGUACCCAAAGAAUAAGCACCGGCUAACUUCGUG
This 492-nucleotide ribosomal RNA is filed under the name uncultured bacterium. RNAcentral describes it as "partial 16S ribosomal RNA". It matches the Rfam family "Bacterial small subunit ribosomal RNA", at positions 29 to 507 of the family's 1533-position model. The record is from RNAcentral.